UGAGGAAUACAUGGGUAACCUGCCCUUGAGGAUGGGAUAACCCGCCGAAAGGCGAGCUAAUACCAUAUACGCUUGUUAUCUCGCGUUAUAGCAAGGAAAGCUGGACCGAGGGUUUGGCGCUCAAGGAGGGGCUCAUGUCCUAUCAGCUUGUUGGUAGGGUAACGGCCUACCAAGGCAACGACGGGUAGCUGGUCUGAGAGGAUGAUCAGCCACACUGGCACUGAGACACGGGCCAGACUCCUACGGGAGGCAGCAGUGAGGAAUAUUGCGCAAUGGGCGAAAGCCUGACGCAGCGACGCCGCGUGGGGGAUGAAGGUUUUCGAAUUGUAAACCCCUUUCAGGAGGAAAGAGAAGGUGGGUUACCACCUAGACGGUACCUCCAGAAGAAGCCACGGCUAACUUCGUGCCAGCAGCCGCGGUAAUACGAAGGUGGCGAGCGUUGUUCGGAUUUACUGGGCGUAAAGAGCACGUAGGCGGUUAGGUAAGCCUCUUGGGAAAGCUCCUGGCUUAACCGGGAAAGGUCGAGGGGAACUGCCUANCUAGAGGGCGGGAGAGGAGCG
This 560-nucleotide ribosomal RNA is filed under the name uncultured bacterium. RNAcentral's name for it is "bacterial SSU rRNA". It matches the Rfam family "Bacterial small subunit ribosomal RNA", at positions 107 to 661 of the family's 1533-position model. The record is from RNAcentral.